Molecule: long non-coding RNA, 699 nt
Organism: Anthonomus grandis grandis
Lineage: Eukaryota; Metazoa; Arthropoda; Insecta; Coleoptera; Curculionidae
Exons: 2
Source: RefSeq, a predicted model, not a curated record
UAGUUGUUAAGCUACAAAAACGUUGGAAAACCGUAAGAGAUGCCUUCACUCGUUGUCGUGCUAAAGGAAAAACUUUGAAAAGCGGAUCAGCAGCUAAAAAAGCACCGAAGCAAAUUUUACUGAGGCCACUCCACAAUCAGAUGACCAAAACAGUAACCAAGAAAAUGAUGACCAUUCAGAUAAAGAAAUCGAUGAUGGGAAAGUCCAAGCUGAACGAGUGAAACCACUUUUUGAGAGAAAAAGGGCUCCAAAAAGAAAUGCAUUAGAAGAAUAUCUGGUUAAAUUAAAAAAAAAACUGAAGAGCCUAUGGGUGAUGAUAAGACAAAUCAUUUUUGAACUCAUUAUUACCGACUCUUUGGAACUUCAAUUAGGAUCAAAAACUGCAAUUUCGAAUUGAAGUAUUGAAUUUAUUGGUUAAAAUUUUAAAAAAAUCCCAGUACAACCUGCAGCAAUAAUUACACAGGAACCCUAUCCUCCAAACAAUAUUUAUUAUUGUCAACCUACGUCACCUACGUCAUCUGCAUCAAGUGGAUUUACUUCAAUACCAACGAUUUUCCCUGGGGCAUACGACAUUAUAUCGUCGCCACAAUCAAAUACGUCUACUUCAAGCCAACCACCUGACCAGUAUAUGAACAUUCCUGCCUACACUCAGUUGCCAUAAUGUAAAAUUAUAUAUCGCAAUAAAUAAUAUUCAAUAAC